AGCGAACGCUGGCGGCAGGCUUAACACAUGCAAGUCGAGCGGGCAUCCUUGUGGUGUCAGCGGCAGACGGGUGAGUAACGCGUGGGAACGUGCCCUUCGGUUCGGAAUAACUCAGGGAAACUUGGGCUAAUACCGGAUACGUGCGAGAGCAGAAAGGUUUAUCUGACGAAGGAUCUGCCCGCGUCUGAUUAGCUAGUUGGUGAGGUUACGGCGCACCAAGGGGACGAUCAGUAGCUGGUCUGAGAGGAAGGUCAGCCACUCCGGGACUGAGCCACGGCCGGGACUCCUGCGGGAGGCAGCAGUGGGGAAUCUUGGACAGUGGGGUCAACCCUGAUCGAGCCCUGCCGCGUGAGUGAUGACGGCCUUAGGGUUGUAAAGCUCUUUUCUCCGGGACGAUAAUGACGUUACCGGAGGAAUAAGCCCCGGCUAACUUCGUG
This 437-nucleotide ribosomal RNA is filed under the name uncultured bacterium. RNAcentral describes it as "partial 16S ribosomal RNA". It matches the Rfam family "Bacterial small subunit ribosomal RNA", at positions 29 to 507 of the family's 1533-position model. The record is from RNAcentral.